Myzus persicae (green peach aphid) is the source of this 283-nucleotide long non-coding RNA. RefSeq lists it as uncharacterized. NCBI's taxonomy places the organism in Eukaryota, Metazoa, Arthropoda, Insecta, Hemiptera, Aphididae. The transcript has 2 exons. The record is from RefSeq and is a predicted model, not a curated record.
CACCCGACCAUGGUCGGACUGAUAGUAGACACCCGACCAUAUUGUUAUUAAAUGCACGGCGAUUUGUAUUUGAAUUUGCAUAAAUUUUCAAUUUAAACCGACCUUGAACAUUUAUUUAUGUAAGAGUCACUUCUGAUGGCACUAAGUUAGAGAUUUCCCAAAUUAAUGAGACACAUAACCACGAGACGUCUGAGUUAUUGUUUUCAAACUUGCCAAAUCAGCGCCGCUUGGAACCACAGAUGAAAGCUAAUGUACUUGAAAUGAUGGAAAUUAAAGCAAUUAA